UUGAGAUGUAAUCAAAAAUGAUAUUUCUUUUACAAUGAAAAAGUGCUUAUAGCCAUCUUGAU
This 62-nucleotide transfer RNA is filed under the name Antricola mexicanus. Its description in RNAcentral is "tRNA-Val". Lineage: Eukaryota; Metazoa; Arthropoda; Arachnida; Ixodida; Argasidae. The record is from RNAcentral.